UACGUACGAGGCGAGCGUUAUCCGGAAUUACUGGGCGUAAAGCGCGCGCAGGUGGCUUGCUAAGUCGGACGUGAAAUCUCCCGGCCUAACUGGGAGGGGUCGUCCGAGACUGGCCGGCUUGAGGCUGGCAGAGGUAGGUGGAAUUCCUGGUGUAGUGGUGAAAUGCGUAGAGAUCAGGAGGAACACCGGUGGCGAAGGCGGCCUACUGGGCCAGCACUGACGCUGAGGCGCGAAAGCUCGGGGAGCGAACAGG
Molecule: ribosomal RNA, 253 nt
Filed under: uncultured bacterium
Lineage: Bacteria
Description: partial 16S ribosomal RNA
Rfam family: Bacterial small subunit ribosomal RNA
Source: RNAcentral